Molecule: ribosomal RNA, 460 nt
Filed under: uncultured bacterium
Lineage: Bacteria
Description: partial 16S ribosomal RNA
Rfam family: Bacterial small subunit ribosomal RNA
Source: RNAcentral
CCUACGGGUGGCAGCAGUGAGGAAUAUUGGUCAAUGGCCGGAAGGCUGAACCAGCCAAGCCGCGUGAAGGACGACGGUGCCACGCAUUGUAAACUUCUUUUGUCAAGGGACAAAGUCCGGCUCGCGAGCCUCCCCGCGUGUACUUUAAGAAAAAGCAUCGGCUAACUCCGUGCCAGCAGCCGCGGUAAUACGGAGGAUGCGAGCGUUAUCCGGAUUUAUUGGGUUUAAAGGGUGCGUUGGCGGGCUGUUAAGUCAGCUGUAAAAGCCUGGGGCUCAACCCCAGCAGAGCAGUUGAAACUGGCGGGCUUGAGAAGGGUAGAGGUAGGCGGAAUGCGUGGUGUAGCGGUGAAAUGCUUAGAUAUCGCGCAGAACUCCGAUUGCGAAGGCAGCAUACCGGAGGCGAUCUGACGCUGAGGCACGAAAGUGUGGGUAUCGAACAGGAUUAGAUACCCGUGUAGUC